This 22-nucleotide microRNA is filed under the name Ascaris suum (pig roundworm). RNAcentral describes it as "asu-miR-5365a-3p". The record is from miRBase by way of RNAcentral. Lineage: Eukaryota; Metazoa; Nematoda; Chromadorea; Rhabditida; Ascarididae.
UGAUUAAGAAGGAACAACUGAU